CCACGGCUGAAAGUAGUCCCCAACAAAUGCACGAUUUAGCCCUGUUUGACUAACAUUUGCUAAAAGCUACAGUGCCCCGCUGUUUUAGGACAUGACUGAGCCUUUUUAAAAAAAAAAAUAAAACUAUAUAUUUGUUGGUCUGUUUUUAAGAUUCUUCAGUCAAACUAAUUGGCUUUUGGGCUGACAGCCACAGACAGGAAAUUGGAAAGUUUUGAGAGACAGACUUGGUUUUGGUCUUUUGGUCUUAACCUUUUCUAGACUCAAUGGGAGUAAAAAUAGGCAGUUUGUUGCUGGAGGGCACUCUGCUCCACAACAGGAUCUAUUGUCACCCCUGCGUCUGUCUUCCACCAGCCUUUAAAGAGUUUUGUUUUCUAUUCAGCAAGUCAUUCAAUAGCCACAGGGAAAACUGAUGGUGUGUUGAGCACACAGUCAUCUUCUUGAAGACAAGAAUUGGCAGUUUGGGAGGUUGGCAUGGUUGACUCUUGUGAGCUUGACGUCGUGUCCUUAUGCGUUACACUUAAAAAACAUUACAGCACGUCAUGUUUUCAGCAGAGCCAUGUCUGACUAGGCUGUACUGUGUCUCAGUCUGCUGAUGACAGUUCAGAGUGUUCCCCUUUAGAAGUCAAAACAGCAUAUGAUUUGAUUUCAUGCUCUUUUAUCCUUUAACUAGCCUCAUAACAGGGACGGAAAAAGCAAUGAUGUGUGUGUGUGUGUGUGUGUGUAACAACUCUCCAUCAUCCCCUAGCAGAGGAUCCAUUAGCCUUCAACCCCCUCCCCGGUUGCCCAGUGAUAAAGUAAACAAAGUGUGUUUGACCAAUCCGGCACGCAAAUAUUUGUUCUGGAAGCCGCCUCAUCCGACGGGAGACACACACACACGUCUGCAGCCGUGUGCUGAGGUAUAUAUACAGUGACAAUCCUGACGGUCCAGGAUUACAUAUGCACACACACAUAAAGAAAAGUGGAUCCAUCAAUGACCCAGGCCAGACUGUUCCUUGGACUUCAACAUAGAUUCACCUGAACCUGGCGGCUAAUUGCACUUGGUUUUAAUAAUCCAACAUGGCGGCGGGCGUCAUCAGAAACUUCCUCGCGCAGGCCCCGACUCCAGCCUACUUCCCCCUGAUUUUCCAGCACUCUCCGUGCAAGGAAGACGAAGAGGAGAUGCUGGAGGAAAAACCAGAGGUGGGGGAAGAUGAAGAAGACAGUGAAGUAGAGGAGGAGGAGGAGGAUGAAUGUGAAGCUCAGGAGGAAGAGGAGGAAUGCUUAGAGGUUUUCUUAAACCCCGCCCACUACGCGUUGGACGUGACCAAGCAGCUGCUGAGGUUUGCAGAGCUCAUCAGCCGUGACGUGCAGCGGUAUUUCGGUCGCUGCUCUGGUGAUCAAGACGCUUGUGACAUCUACAGCGACUCGGUCUCCGUCACAACCAGCGGGCGUCUGCGUUACUAUGACGACCUGCUGAAAAUCGCAAGAGCAGGAAGUCCAGAGGAGCAAGAAAACAGCUCUGUGACAUGUGCCGAUGAUCAAGGAGUCGGGGUUGCUAAGGGCAACAGCGGUUUGGGGCCCCUGGCCGAACUGUUCGACCACAGCGGCCCGAGUCAGGCCCGCAGCCGACCGAUGAUCAAGCGGCAUCUCCCGCUCAGUUUCUGGACUGAGCCGAUCCCCUGCUGCUCUCUGCUCACCUUCAGUAACACACCCGACAGUGACGCGCCUUCACAGGACAGCACACACACAGACACUAACGCACACGUGCACUACAACCCGCCCCCGCACCACAGCACACACGCCCUCGACACCGCUCAGCCGGACUUCAGUGACUUGCUGGCAAACUGGGACCCAAACCCGGAGCUCACACACACACUGACGGAGAACACACACAUGCAGCAUUAAACGCAACACCAGCCUUUUCAACUGUGAUAGAUACUUAAAAAGGACAAAACAGAAACAAAUCAACAUGUGCUGUAUCAUUUACAAGUUCCAGUUCCUCUGGAUAAUCCACAGACCUAACAGUUUUCACUGCUGUUUACUGAAGAAAGACUUCCAAACAAACAAAUACUCUGGAUUAUCCAGAGAAACCUGGUUUCUCAACAGAUACACUGUUACUUUGCAAAAACCCUCCUUUUUAUCAAGUUGUUUUAUUCUGUAAUUAAGUCCUUCAUGGGUUUUUUUUUAAACAAGUGAAAAACCUAUCAAUGAUGUAAGAAUAUUUCAGCCUGUUUGUGAUGCAAAAUCUAAUUGUUUCAGAAAUUUUAUAAAAUUAAUUUUCAUUUUUCUUGUGUAAUUCUUUCUAGUUUUAAGUUUAAAGAGGAACUUCCCCUGAAAAUCUUACAUUUACAGGUGUUCUCCAAGACACCGUGACAUCACUGUCAGGUGUGGUUACAAGUACAACAGAGCACAUUUCUGACCACACCCAUCAGGUGAAAUUAAAAUUUAAAUUGAGAGAGGGGAGGGAAACACUGCUUUUCAGCCUCUUAGAUUAGAUUAUAAAGGGGUCAUCAGCCUCUGGAUUACCCCUUUAUUUUAUUUAAAGUAUUUGGGGGUAUUUUAUGCCUUUACUAGGUAACGACUUGCAACAGUGAUCCUCCAUCAGACUGGAGCCAGGGGCAUUUCAGUCCAUGGUCAGGACCUUGAACCCCUAGGCCGACAGUGCCCCCAUGGAGUACCCUUAUAAAGUCCUAAUUUAUUCAGAUGAUUGAAAAACAUUGGUCAGCGCAGAAAGUUUGAAUGGAAAUCAACUUGUUUCAAGUAUUUUUCACAGUCAAGUUACAUUUUGCUUGACUCUGUUGCAGCAAUGUUCCUAAUUCUUUCAUGUUUAAAAAAAAGGGAUAAAUUAUGGACAUGACUUGAUAAGACGGAGAUUUUUUUUAAGUGUAUUGACUUUUAAAAAUGAUUUACAGUUUGUCCCCAAACCUGAGUAUUGAAGCCUUUUAAAAAAGAGGAUGUUCCUGAGCCAGAGUCGGCUGUUUGAGUGGAACAAUUCCUCCAAUCCACUUUCAUGACCGGGGGUUUGGGAGAGGAAGGAGCGACAGGUGGAGGCUGAUACAAUCCCAGAGGACUCCGACUGCGCUUCAUCUCCGGAUCCCGCAGUUGUUGACUUAGCUCGCGAUGAAAACGUGUCUCUCAGAGAGGAGAUCCUCCAGCUGAGGAAACAAACUGAGUUUUUCACAAGGUUUGCAUCCUAUGACCUCAUGCACUUCUGGGUCUCAUUAAAGCCCUCGCUGACGUCUUUGUUCAGUGUGACACAAGCACAGAGAGACACCUUCACAGAGCCAAGUACUCUUCAUAAUAAUAAUAAUGAUAAUAAUAAGUUCCAUGGACCAUACAAUACAACUUGACAAAGAUCAGGGCUGAUGAAAUUAAAUUAAUUUGAGAGAAAUAUAAUGUACAUUUUCAUUUGUUUUGAACAGACUCAUUCAGACUGCAGUCCAUAGAUGAGAUGUUCGUGUUUCUGAACUAUCUUGCACUCUAUCUUGGUUCAAAACAGCGUGACCGAUAUGCAGUCCGUGGAAACGUGGAACAACUUUCUGCACACUGUGAGGAUCUGGAUACCAGAGGAGAAAAUAAGGGAACAUUUGCCAGCAGAGUUCAAGGACUAUGCAGACACUACAGUCAUCCAGAACUGCACGGAGCUGAGGUGCCCUUCAUCACCUCUUCUCCAAAGUGAAGUGUUCUCGCACUGUACUGCCGCAGGGCCUGCUUGGAGUUGCUCCUCAUGGGACGGCCACAUUCAUCUCUCCACUGUAUGCCUCAUUUAUCAGUGACAAACAGAUCAUGCGAGAGUCUGGAAUUCUCUCCCUUUUGAGACCUGAGGUGGCCAUCGUGGUCGACCGAGGUUUUCUCGUUGACGACUGUAAGAUCUAUAGCUAUAGGCCGGCAUUUCACUCUGGCAGAUCCCAGAUGUCUGCCUGUGAGGUCAGGGCCACUGCACGCGUCAGGGUGCAUGUGGAGUGCCUCAUACGCUGAGUGAAGUUCUUUUUGGCUACAUUAAUCGGCUCUAUACCGUUGCAUGUCUCCUGACAAACUAUGACAGUGGGCCUCUUGUAAAGGGUUGGGCAAAGAAGCCAGAGUAGCACUUGUAUAUUGCAUUUCCAUUUACGACAACGCUUUUAUCCAAAGCAACAUCAUCUGCUGGGCUUUUUCGAAGAUGGAAGAGGUGUUAGUCUCCCACCACCUCCACCCUCAAAAAAGCCUAGCAGAGGAUGUACCGUAUGUUGUCUUGAGGACAAAAUGUAAAUCUUGUAAACAGCAGUUAUCUGUAUAUACUUACAUGUAAUCUGUUUUA
RNA transcript from Siniperca chuatsi (mandarin fish), 4276 nucleotides. It is a transcript of the gene named protein PERCC1, with no coding region annotated. The record is from RefSeq and is a predicted model, not a curated record. Lineage: Eukaryota; Metazoa; Chordata; Actinopteri; Centrarchiformes; Sinipercidae. The transcript has 3 exons.